GACGAACCGUGCGAACGUUAUUCGGAAUCACUGGGCUUAAAGCGCGUGUAGGCGGGAGGGCACGUCCGUCGCUGAAAUCCCCCGGCUCAACCGGGGAACGGGCACGGAUACGACCUUCCUGGAGGGGCGUAGGGGGACCUGGAACUUCCGGUGGAGCGGUGAAAUGCGUUGAGAUCGGAAGGAACGCCCGUGGCGAAAGCGGUUCUCUGGGCCUUACCUGACGCUGAGGAGCGAAAGCGUGGGGAGCGAACAGG
RNAcentral lists this ribosomal RNA (254 nucleotides) under uncultured bacterium. RNAcentral describes it as "partial 16S ribosomal RNA". It matches the Rfam family "Bacterial small subunit ribosomal RNA", at positions 524 to 776 of the family's 1533-position model. The record is from RNAcentral.